RNAcentral lists this ribosomal RNA (497 nucleotides) under uncultured bacterium. RNAcentral's name for it is "partial 16S ribosomal RNA". It matches the Rfam family "Bacterial small subunit ribosomal RNA", at positions 28 to 507 of the family's 1533-position model. The record is from RNAcentral.
GAUGAACGCUGGCGGCGUGCCUAAUACAUGCAAGUCGAGCGAACAGACGAGGAGCUUGCUCCUCUGACGUUAGCGGCGGACGGGUGAGUAACACGUGGAUAACCUACCUAUAAGACUGGGAUAACUUCGGGAAACCGGAGCUAAUACCGGAUAAUAUAUUGAACCGCAUGGUUCAAUAGUGAAAGAUGGUUUUGCUGCCACCUAUAGAUGGAUCCGCGCCGCAUUAGCUAGUUGGUAAGGUAACGGCUUACCAAGGCAACGAUGCGAAGCCGACCUGAGAGGGUGAUCGGCCACACUGGAACUGGGACACGGUCCAGACUCCUACGGGGGGCAGCAGUAGGGAAUCUUGCGCAAGGGGCGAAGGCCUGACGGAGCAACGCCGCGUGAGUGAUGAAGGUCUUCGGAUCGUAAAACUCUGUUAUUAGGGAAGAACAAAUGUGUAAGUAACUAUGCACGUCUUGACGGUACCUAAUCAGAAAGCCACGGCUAACUACGUG